RNAcentral lists this transfer RNA (70 nucleotides) under Cricetulus griseus (Chinese hamster). It matches the Rfam family "tRNA". Rfam says of the family: Transfer RNA (tRNA) molecules are approximately 80 nucleotides in length. Lineage: Eukaryota; Metazoa; Chordata; Mammalia; Rodentia; Cricetidae. The record is from Rfam by way of RNAcentral.
GCUCUGACUCAGUCAGUAGAGCAUGAGACUCUCAAUCUCAGGGUCGUGGGUUGGCACCCCACAUUGGGCG